AUUCUCUUGCAGCGGCGAUAUCAUAGCUUAUGCAGUCUAUCUGAGGCGUGAUUAUUGCUGGUUGAUAACUUAACCCAAUACCCUGUUAGGGGCGACUUGAAAUAUAGUCUUCCCUGGCAAUUUUUGCUAGUAUCAUGUGAGA
RNAcentral lists this small nuclear RNA (142 nucleotides) under Salmo salar (Atlantic salmon). RNAcentral describes it as "U4 spliceosomal RNA". It matches the Rfam family "U4 spliceosomal RNA". From Rfam's summary of the family: U4 small nuclear RNA (U4 snRNA) is a component of the major U2-dependent spliceosome. The structure of U4 snRNA from yeast and human has been reported. U4 snRNA presents a k-turn RNA motif in the 5p-SL related to recognition of Snu13 protein. Lineage: Eukaryota; Metazoa; Chordata; Actinopteri; Salmoniformes; Salmonidae. The record is from Rfam by way of RNAcentral.